Molecule: ribosomal RNA, 259 nt
Filed under: uncultured prokaryote
Description: partial 16S ribosomal RNA
Rfam family: Bacterial small subunit ribosomal RNA
Source: RNAcentral
UACGGAGGAUGCGAGCGUUAUCCGGAUUUAUUGGGUUUAAAGGGUGCGUAGGCGGCUUUUUAAGUCGGCGGUGAAAUUUUGCAGCUUAACUGUAACAGUGCCGUUGAUACUGGGGAGCUAGGAUUUGGUUGCUGUGGGUGGAAUGUGUGGUGUAGCGGUGAAAUGCUUAGAGAUCACACAGAAUAUCGAUUGCGAAGGCAGCUCACAAAGCCAAGAUUGACGCUGAGGCACGAAAGUGUGGGGAUCAAACAGGAUUAGA